This 1011-nucleotide long non-coding RNA is filed under the name Monodelphis domestica (gray short-tailed opossum). RNAcentral's name for it is "lncRNA (ENSMODG00000042544.1)". Lineage: Eukaryota; Metazoa; Chordata; Mammalia; Didelphimorphia; Didelphidae. The record is from RNAcentral.
UAUCUGACAUUCCCUCUUCUAAGGACUCUCCCAGCUCUGACAUUCCCUGUUCUAAGGACUCUCCCAGCUCUGACAUUCUCUGUUCUAAGCUCCCUCCCAGCUCUGACAUUCUCUGUUCUAAGGACUCUCCCAGCUCUGACAUUCCCUGUUCUAAGGACUCUCCCAGCUCUGACAUUCCCUGUUCUAAGGAUUCUCCCAGCUCUGACAUUCCCUGUUCUAAGGUCUCUCCCAGCUCUGACAUUCUCUGUUCUAAGCUCCCUCCCAGCUCUGACAUUCUCUGUUCUAAGCUCCCUCCCAGCUCUGACAUUCUCUGUUCUAAGCUCCCUCCCAGCUCUGACAUUCUCUGUUCUAAGGUCUCUCCCAGCUCUGACAUUCUCUGUUCUAAGGUCUCUCCCAGCUCUGACAUUCCCUGUUCUAAGGACUCUCCCAGCUCUGACAUUCUCUGUUCUAAGGUCUCUCCCAGCUCUGACAUUCCUUGUUCUAAGGACUCUCCCAGCUCUGACAUUCUCUGUUCUAAGGGUCCUCCCAGCUCUGACAUUCCCUGUUCUAAGGUCUCUCCCAGCUCUGACAUUCCUUGUUCUAAGGACUCUCCCAGCUCUGACAUUCCCUGUUCUAAGGAUUCUCCCAGCUCUGACAUUCCCUGUUCUAAGGUCUCUCCCAGCUCUGACAUUCUCUGUCCUAAGGGCUCUCCCAGCUCUGACAUUCCCUGUUCUAAGGUCUCUCCCAGCUCUGACAUUCUUUGUUCUAAGGACCUUCCCAGCUCUGACAUUCUCUGUUCUAAGGACUCUCCUAGCUCUGUCAUUCUCUGUUCUAAGCUCCCUCCCAACUCUGACAUUCUCUAUUCUAAGGGUCCUCCCAGCCCUGACAUUCUCUGUCCUAAGGGCUCUCUCAGCUCUUGACAUUCCUUGUUCUGAGGACCCUGCCAGCUCUUACACCCUUUGUUUUAAAGGGUUUCCCAGCUCUGACAUUCUAAAACCACUACAUUUGUUGAUAAGAGAGAGGAAGGGCUGA